RNAcentral lists this ribosomal RNA (849 nucleotides) under Paraburkholderia terrae. RNAcentral's name for it is "bacterial SSU rRNA". It matches the Rfam family "Bacterial small subunit ribosomal RNA", at positions 53 to 899 of the family's 1533-position model. The record is from RNAcentral. Lineage: Bacteria; Pseudomonadati; Pseudomonadota; Betaproteobacteria; Burkholderiales; Burkholderiaceae.
ACCAUGCAGUCGAACGGCAGCGCGGGGGCAACCCUGGCGGCGAGUGGCGAACGGGUGAGUAAUACAUCGGAACGUGUCCUGGAGUGGGGGAUAGCCCGGCGAAAGCCGGAUUAAUACCGCAUACGAUCCACGGAUGAAAGCGGGGGACCGAAAGGCCUCGCGCUCAAGGAGCGGCCGAUGGCGGAUUAGCUAGUUGGUGGGGUAAAGGCCCACCAAGGCGACGAUCCGUAGCUGGUCUGAGAGGACGACCAGCCACACUGGGACUGAGACACGGCCCAGACUCCUACGGGAGGCAGCAGUGGGGAAUUUUGGACAAUGGGCGAAAGCCUGAUCCAGCAAUGCCGCGUGUGUGAAGAAGGCCUUCGGGUUGUAAAGCACUUUUGUCCGGAAAGAAAACUUCGCCUCUAAUACAGGUGGAGGAUGACGGUACCGGAAGAAUAAGCACCGGCUAACUACGUGCCAGCAGCCGCGGUAAUACGUAGGGUGCAAGCGUUAAUCGGAAUUACUGGGCGUAAAGCGUGCGCAGGCGGUGAUGUAAGACCGAUGUGAAAUCCCCGGGCUUAACCUGGGAACUGCAUUGGUGACUGCAUUGCUAGAGUAUGGCAGAGGGGGGUGGAAUUCCACGUGUAGCAGUGAAAUGCGUAGAGAUGUGGAGGAACACCGAUGGCGAAGGCAGCCCCCUGGGCCAAUACUGACGCUCAUGCACGAAAGCGUGGGGAGCAAACAGGAUUAGAUACCCUGGUAGUCCACGCCCUAAACGAUGUCAACUGGUUGUUGGGGAUUCAUUUCCUUAGUAACGAAGCUAACGCGUGAAGUUGACCGCCUGGGGAGUACGGUCGCAGAUAAUAG